UACAGAGGGUGCGAGCGUUAAUCGGAAUUACUGGGCGUAAAGCGUGCGUAGACGGUAGCGUAAGUCAGAUGUGAAAGCCCCGGGCUCAACCUGGGAACUGCAUUUGAGACUGCUCUGCUCGGGUGCGGAAGAGGGAAGCGGAAUUUCCGGUGUAGCGGUGAAAUGCGUAGAGAUCCGGAGGAACACCAAAGGCGAAGGCAGUGUCCUGGGGAGUACCUGACGCUCAGGUGCGAAAGCCAGGGGAGCGAACGGG
Molecule: ribosomal RNA, 253 nt
Filed under: uncultured bacterium
Lineage: Bacteria
Description: partial 16S ribosomal RNA
Rfam family: Bacterial small subunit ribosomal RNA
Source: RNAcentral